UGUCCAAUGCGGGAAUCGAACCCGGGUCCUAGUGGUCGAAAACCAAACGGUUUAACCAGCCUUCCACCGACCCCCUCAGGCUAAUUGUGAU
Cordylochernes scorpioides is the source of this 91-nucleotide non-coding RNA. The record is from the annotation of a GenBank genome assembly. Lineage: Eukaryota; Metazoa; Arthropoda; Arachnida; Pseudoscorpiones; Chernetidae.